GAUGAACGCUGGCGGCGUGCUUAACACAUGCAAGUCGAACGAUGAAGCCCAGCUUGCUGGGUGGAUUAGUGGCGAACGGGUGAGUAACACGUGAGUAACCUGCCCUUAACUCUGGGAUAAGCCUGGGAAACUGGGUCUAAUACCGGAUAGGAGCGCCUACCGCAUGGUGGGUGUUGGAAAGAUUUAUCGGUUUUGGAUGGACUCGCGGCCUAUCAGCUUGUUGGUGAGGUAAUGGCUCACCAAGGCGACGACGGGUAGCCGGCCUGAGAGGGUGACCGGCCACACUGGGACUGAGACACGGCCCAGACUCCUACGGGAGGCAGCAGUGGGGAAUAUUGCACAAUGGGCGAAAGCCUGAUGCAGCGACGCCGCGUGAGGGAUGACGGCCCUCGGGUUGUAAACCUCUUUCAGUAGGGAAGAAGCGAAAGUGACGGUACCUGCAGAAGAAGCACCGGCUAACUACGUG
This 466-nucleotide ribosomal RNA is filed under the name uncultured bacterium. RNAcentral's name for it is "partial 16S ribosomal RNA". It matches the Rfam family "Bacterial small subunit ribosomal RNA", at positions 28 to 507 of the family's 1533-position model. The record is from RNAcentral.